RNA transcript from Triticum aestivum (bread wheat), 3759 nucleotides. RefSeq lists it as uncharacterized. The record is from RefSeq and is a predicted model, not a curated record. NCBI's taxonomy places the organism in Eukaryota, Viridiplantae, Streptophyta, Magnoliopsida, Poales, Poaceae. The transcript is spliced from 2 exons.
GUGCCCGGUGCCCGGUGCACUAAAAUAUAGCAGACUGCGUAUGGAUGCCCUUAUAAAAGAAUUUGGUACCGGCCUCACAAUGUGCGUUUGUAGCCCGUAGAAAAGCGGGACCCACACGUCCAUAAAAAAAUCGAGCAAGCCAACCUCUCCUCGAUCCUUCGCGCGAGUUCCUUCUCGUCCGCCUCUGUCCAGAGAAAAUCCCCUUUCUCCUCCGACCAGAUCCAUCUCCAUCCUCACCUCCUCGUCUCGAUCCGGCGUGGAUCUAGGCCAAAUCGACACGCAUCUCCUACCCCCAGGCAAGGUGUUCGUCGGCCCGCCGAGGCUCCGCGGCUAGUGGAGGUGAUGUGCGGCGGGGGACGAGCUCCAUGGACGAGGAGAAGGAAGCAGGAGGCGGAGGCGGGCCAGCAGUAUGUUGUGGCUAGCGCUGCCCGGACUACUGGACGGCCGGCUACUGCGCUGCCUCUACUACUUUCUACUACUAUGCUGCCUCUACUGGUCUCGAAGCAGCACAGGUGAGGAUGCGUGAUGUUCAGCCUAUGAAGCAAACAAAAAUGUUUUACUGGAUUCAGUUAAGACAUUGUAAUGUUCGGCCUAUGAAGCUCUAUCUAUUAGGACGUGCUAUACUUGCAUGUAGUGUAGUACUAGUUAAUAAUGUCAGUGAUGCUACUUUCCUGUUCUUAAAAAUUAGCAACAAAAAAUAAUAAUAAAAUGUUCUCAUUCCACAAUUUGUAAACUAGAUUACACAAUUACAAAGGAGAUGCUCGACUGGAAAACUAAAGUAGAAAAGGGUAGAAUAAGAUGAAUUCAUGUAGAACUUAUAAUUGCUAAUGUCCAUUUCCUCCAAACUUUUGCCAAAUAUUCUCAACCAAGUCAGCCUUGAGACGACGAUGUGUGGAUCGAUCCCGAAUGGCAGCAUCUGUCUCAAGAACCAGAUCAAACCCAUCAAAUGGUCCUUGUUCAGUUUCAAGAUAUGGUAUUUGGGCGCCUUGUAGCAAUUCAUAGUCACAGUCAUAUUUGUCAUAGCACUUGUAGGUGUGCCUCUCAUCUGCAACGAUCAUGUUAUGCAAUAUAAUGCAAGCAUACAUGAUCUCAGCAAGAGCACACCUUUGCAACAUACGCCCUGGAUGACGAACUAUAGCAAAACGAGCUUGCAAAACACCAAAAGCCCGCUCUACAUCUUUCCUUGCUCCUUCUUGAUGUGCUUUAUAUAACUUGUGCUUCUCACUUUGAGCCAUAGGGAUUGAUUUCACAAAUGUCGCCCAUUCCGGAUAAAUGCCAUCUACUAAGUAGUAUCCCAAGUUAUACUCAUUGUGGUUGACUUCAAAGUGAACCUUUGGAGCUGUACCUUGCAGCACUUGAGUAAACAAAGUUGAUUGGUCUAGGACAUUGAUAUCAUUACUUGAUCCAGCAACCCCAAAAAAUGCAUGCCAUAUCCAUAGGUCAUGUGAGGCUACAGCUUCGAGCAUGACUGUGGAAACUCCAUGAUCGCCACGAGUGAACAUUCCCUUCCAAGCCACUGGACAAUUUCUCCAUGUCCAGUGCAUGCAAUCAAGACUUCCCAACAUGCCAGGAAAGCCACGGGCCUCCCCUACAUGAAGUAAGCGUUGUAUGUCUUCGUUAGUGGGCCUUCUAAGAUAUUCUGGACCAAACUUCUCCAUCACACCCUUGCAAAAUGUGGUCAUGCACUUGAUGAUUGUGGUUUCACCCAUUCUCAAGUUAUCAUCAAACAAAUCAGCAGGUGUCCCAAAUGCUAGCACUCGCAUAGCAGCAGUGCAUUUCUGCAAGGGAGAAAAGCCAGGCUUGCCAAAUGCAUCACUCCUCUGAGUAAAGAAUGGAGACCACUCGCCAAGAGUUUGGACAAUGUGUAAAAAUAAAUGCUUCCUCAUACAAAACCUACGCCUAAAUUGCUUGUCAGUGUAUAAUGGAUUUUCUGAGAAGUAAUCAUCCAUCAGCCUAUCCUCACCACCUUGCCUAUCUCUAUCAAGGUGUCUUCUAGGUAGUCUUCUGUGUUCAUUGGACGUACCUAUCUGUUGUGCUGCAAUCUGAGCUCGAAUUUCUGCUUCAAUCUGGGCUUCAACUGGGUUAUUCAUGAAGUCCCAGAAAAAGUCACUCAUGGCUUCGAAACUAAUUGCUGCAUCAACAUUGUCUUGUUGCUCUGCUUGUGGGUUCUCAUUGGUGGACAUCUCUUGAGUGGAAGGUGUGUUGUGUUUGGGCUUGGUGGGAUGGAGCUGCUGCCUCUAUUAAUAGGGAAUAGUUUCCAACGGCUAGUUUUCAACAGCUAUAUUUCCAGCAAGUUAAAUGCAGUGCAUAGUAAUUCAUCAAAUGAUUACAUAGUAAUUCAGAAAAUGCUUACAACCAGUGAUUACAUACUAAUUCAUAAAGUUCUAAUAAACAACGAUCACAUGAAACUGCUUACAUAGCGCAUCAUUCACCUACAAGAUACAUCUAAUCUUAACCGAACAGAUCAUUAGCUAAGAAAUUUAGAACUUGUUCAUGUCUUUUCUUUUGGGCAUCAUCAUAAGCUGAAGUAUUUUUGUGAAGAAGAUCAAGGUAUUUGCUCAGUUUGUCCACCUUUAUCUUCUCCUUCCCAGUUUCAACUCUUUCUUUCUCAGCUUCUGCUUGAACUUUUGUGGCUUCUGCUUGAUUAAGGGUGGCGUCGGCCAUUUUCUCUGUAGCAAUUGAUUUUCGUAGUUGAAUCUCAUUAAAUUUGUCCACACUCUCACUUGUCAAGCUUCCAGAGCAUUUAGACUUGCUUGAUGACUUCUGUUUAUCUUUUGCGUCUUUUGAAGUGUUGCGUCCCGGGGGUCGUUGAAGUUCACCUUCCUCAUCUAUUGCCUGGGUUGGAGAACUAUAAGCUCCUGAUGCAUUCAACUUGUUUCUUUUGUUCAUCUCUUCAACUGAAUAAGACCUUCUCCAUUUAGCCUAUUUCCUCACGUACUCCCACCAGUGCUCAUAUGGAAAGGGUCUUUUUGUCUUGGCAACACUCAUGUAUUUGGCACAUACCCUCUCCAUAAGUUGCUUGUCAUCACUCCCACUAGGCCAUGUACUUUUUUCAACAUUGUAGAUACCAUUGAACUUUGUAACCUUCUUUGUGGUCUUGGUCCAGUGGUUCUUGCAUUGCCCAACUGUUUUCUUCUGCUCUUUUGUUGCAUAUUUGUUGUACUCUGCUGCGACUUCCUUCCAAUAGGUCUCUGCCCUUUUGGAGCUUCCAUCAAUCGGAUCACAUGAAUUGUGCACCCAAGCUGCUAUGAGAAGUUCAUCCUCACGCUUACUCCAGUUCUUGCCUUUUCCUUUUUUCUGAAUCUCAUCAGGACUACUAUCACUGCCAUCUUGAUUACUGACAGCCGGAUCUUCAUCCACUUGAUAUGCAGGUGACAUGGGAGAACUAAAUCCAACUGGACUGUUCUCAACUCCUCUUGAACUAGUGCCUCUAGCAGAUCCAAGAAAAGGUAUGCAUCCAGCAGGAGAAGCUGGACUGCUACUUGAGCCUGCUCCAAAUGCUCCCGAAGGGUACUGCCCCAUGUUACCUUGGUAAGCAACACCAUGGUAGCCUAGAGGUUGUUUCGGCUCUGUGCAUCUGAAGGUGAGAAGGAGGAGUUCAUCAUGCUUGUGAAGCUUUGAGAAGAUGAGUGCUCCAUGUUUUGGGGGAGAGUUUCUCCAAGAUCUUCUUGUGCUUCUAUGAGCUUGUUCUGUACAUUUUAUAGACAUAUUCUCCAAACGGGCAGAUUUUCCUACUGCAGUGCAACGGUCAUCUGGAAA